GGGUGGAAUAGCAUCCUAUGUGCUGGGACAAAGCCAUCCUGCUAGUGUCUCAAUAUUUCGAUCAGAACAUCUUGGGAUAUCUUCUGUGCCAAAUGUUGAGACAGAACGAUGGUAUAUCCCGUUCUAUAAAAAAAUUAAGAUAGCCUCGUCUCAUGAAAUUUAAAAUUUUAGUUAAAAGUGCCCUCUUAAAGUUAUCUCUCUAA
This 203-nucleotide long non-coding RNA is filed under the name Elaeis guineensis (African oil palm). RNAcentral describes it as "long non-coding RNA (EGUI_LNC047694)". The record is from RNAcentral. Lineage: Eukaryota; Viridiplantae; Streptophyta; Magnoliopsida; Arecales; Arecaceae.